RNAcentral lists this small RNA (226 nucleotides) under Solanum pinnatum. RNAcentral describes it as "SprA". Lineage: Eukaryota; Viridiplantae; Streptophyta; Magnoliopsida; Solanales; Solanaceae. The record is from RNAcentral.
UAAUUGAAUAAUUUAACAAUUUCCCCUUCAUAUUUCAUAUUUGAUAUUGAUUAGCUCACCAAUCCAUAUGUAAUGGAACUCUAUUCGCUUUUCUGAUUGAUAUAUAAAAUAAUAGAAUUAGGAAAUCCUCUAUUUACUAUUCACUGAAUAAUAACCUUUUUGUUGACAAAAGAAUAAAGAUCAUUUCUAUUCCAAGGUGGGGAGUUUUAUUUUCCCCAUCGACCUA